This 1400-nucleotide ribosomal RNA is filed under the name Amazophrynella minuta (tiny tree toad). RNAcentral describes it as "partial 16S ribosomal RNA". It matches the Rfam family "Bacterial large subunit ribosomal RNA", at positions 133 to 2575 of the family's 2925-position model. Lineage: Eukaryota; Metazoa; Chordata; Amphibia; Anura; Bufonidae. The record is from RNAcentral.
GCUAAAAAUCUAGCCCAAUAUUAAAUUUUAUACUAUUGUUAUCUUGAUUUAAAAAUUAAAACAUUUUAUUUUUUUAGUAAAGGAGAUUAAAAAAUUUCUUUGGAGCUAUAAAAAUUGUACCGCAAGGGAAAGAUGAAAUAUUUAAUGAAAUAUAAUAAAGCAUAAAAAAGUAAAGAUUACCCCUUGUACCUUUUGCAUCAUGGUUUAACUAGUUUAAUCCGGCAAAACGUAUUAAAGUCUGACCUCCCGAAACUAAGUGAGCUACUUCAAGGCAGCUAAAUGAGCCAACCCAUCUCUGUAGCAAAAGAGUGGGAAGACCUUCAAGUAGAGGCGAUAAACCUAACGAACUUAGUGAUAGCUGGUUACCCAAGAAAAGGAUUUAAGUCCACAAUGAAGCACACAUCUAGUUUUUCAAUACACCAAACCCGCUUCAAAUCAAUUCAAAUAAGGUACAGCCUAUUUGAAAAAGGAUACAACCUAAACCAAUGGAUAAAAAUAUUCCCCAAUAACUAAGUAGGCUUAAAAGCAGCCAUCUUUAAAAACAGCGUCAAAGCUUAAUUAUCUCCAUAUCUAAUUCUAAGACCCAUCUUUACUCCUCAAUCUCUACUGGGUAAUUCUAUACUUUUAUAGAAAAUUUUAUGUUAAAAUUAGUAACAAGAAGAAGAUCUUCUCUUAAAUGUAAGUGUAAAUCAGAAAGGACCAACCACUGAUUAUUAACGCCCAUGGACCAAAAAUAGCAACCUACCAAGAAAACCCUACUCCAUCUUACGUUAACCUCACACAAGAACAUUUCAAGAAAAAUUAAAAGAAAAAGAAGGAACUCGGCAAACAUUAACCUCGCCUGUUUACCAAAAACAUCGCCUCUUGCACCCCAUAAGAGGUCCAGCCUGCCCAGUGAAAUAUUCAACGGCCGCGGUAUCCUAACCGUGCGAAGGUAGCGUAAUCACUUGUUCUCUAAAUCAGGACUAGUAUGAACGGCACCACGAGGGUUAUACUGUCUCCUUUUUCCAAUUAGUGAACUUAAUCUUCCCGUGAAGAAGCCGGAAUAAUCCUAUAAGACGAGAAGACCCUUUGGAGCUUUAAACAUACUAGCACUUGCAUCACAUCUUUAUAUUUCUGAAUACUAUAUCUCCCGCACGAUGACUAUAAGUUUUAGGUUGGGGUGACCGCGGAGUAAAAUAAACCCUCCACACUGUAAGAAUCUCUUAAAUCUUAACUAAGAGCCACACCUCUAAGUAUCAGUACACUGACAUCUAUUGACCCAAUAUAUUUGAUCAACGAACCAAGUUACCCUAGGGAUAACAGCGCAAUCCAUUUCAAGAGCCCCUAUCGCCAAAUGGGUUUACGACCUCGAUGUUGGAUCAGGAUCUCCCAGUGGUGCAGCCGCUACUAAUGGUUCG